This 465-nucleotide ribosomal RNA is filed under the name uncultured bacterium. Its description in RNAcentral is "bacterial SSU rRNA". It matches the Rfam family "Bacterial small subunit ribosomal RNA", at positions 338 to 795 of the family's 1533-position model. The record is from RNAcentral.
CCUACGGGCGGCACCAGUGGGGAAUAUUGCACAAUGGGCGCAAGCCUGAUGCAGCCAUGCCGCCUGUAUGAAGAAGGCCUCCGGGUUGUAAAGUACUUUCAGCGGGGAGGAAGGCGAUAAGGUUGAUAACCUUGUCGAUUGACGUUACCCGCAGAAGAAGCACCGGCUAACUCCGUGCCAGCAGCCGCGGUAAUACGGAGGGUGCAAGCGUUAAUCGGAAUUACUGGGCGUAAAGCGCACGCAGGCGGUCUGUCAAGUCGGAUGUGAAAUCCCCGGGCUCAACCUGGGAACUGCAUUCGAAUCUGGCAGGCUAGAGUCUUGUAGAGGGGGGUAGAAUUCCAGGUGUAGCGGUGAAAUGCGUAGAGAUCUGGAGGAAUACCGGUGGCGAAGGCGGCCCCCUGGACAAAGACUGACGCGCAGGUGCGAAAGCGUGGGGAGCAAACAGGAUUAGAUACCCGGGUAGUC